Molecule: transfer RNA, 85 nt
Filed under: Desulfobacteraceae bacterium
Lineage: Bacteria; Pseudomonadati; Thermodesulfobacteriota; Desulfobacteria; Desulfobacterales; Desulfobacteraceae
Description: tRNA-Leu
Rfam family: tRNA
About the family: Transfer RNA (tRNA) molecules are approximately 80 nucleotides in length. Their secondary structure includes four short double-helical elements and three loops (D, anti-codon, and T loops).
Source: RNAcentral
GCGAGAGUGGCGGAAUUGGCAGACGCGCUGGACUUAGGAUCCAGUGGUUUUUACCGUAGGGGUUCAAAUCCCCUCUCUCGCACCA